UACGUAGGUGGCAAGCGUUACUCGGAAUCACUAGGCGUAAAGCGCAGGUAGGCGGUUUGAUAAGUCUCUUGUGAAAGCUCCCGGCUUAACUGGGAGAGGCCAAGGGAAACUGUCAGGCUAGAGUGUGGCAGAGGAUGCUGGAAUUCCCGGUGUAGCGGUGAAAUGCGUAGAGAUCAGGAGGAACACCCGGGGCGAAGGCGGCCCUCUGGCUCGACCCUGACGCUGAGGCGCGAAAGCGUGGGGAGCAAACAGG
This 253-nucleotide ribosomal RNA is filed under the name uncultured bacterium. Its description in RNAcentral is "partial 16S ribosomal RNA". It matches the Rfam family "Bacterial small subunit ribosomal RNA", at positions 524 to 776 of the family's 1533-position model. The record is from RNAcentral.